CGGGUGAGUAAUGCGUGAACAACCUGCCCCAUGCUCCAGAAUAGCUCUUGGAAACGGGUGGUAAUGCUGGAUGCUCCAACUUGACGCAUGUCUUGUUGGGAAAGUGUUUAGUGGCAUGGGAUGGGGUCGCGUCCUAUCAGCUUGUAGGCGGGGUAAUGGCCCACCUAGGCUUCGACGGGUAGCCGGCCUGAGAGGGCGGACGGCCACAUUGGGACUGAGAUACGGCCCAGACUCCUACGGGAGGCAGCAGUC
This 252-nucleotide ribosomal RNA is filed under the name uncultured Gardnerella sp. Its description in RNAcentral is "partial 16S ribosomal RNA". It matches the Rfam family "Bacterial small subunit ribosomal RNA", at positions 103 to 355 of the family's 1533-position model. The record is from RNAcentral. Lineage: Bacteria; Bacillati; Actinomycetota; Actinomycetes; Bifidobacteriales; Bifidobacteriaceae.